GAUGAAGGCUCAGUUGGUAAGAGUGCUUGCCUUACAUAUAUAAGGCCCUGGGUUCAAUCCCCAGCAUCA
This 69-nucleotide transfer RNA is filed under the name Marmota marmota marmota (Alpine marmot). It matches the Rfam family "tRNA". Rfam says of the family: Transfer RNA (tRNA) molecules are approximately 80 nucleotides in length. Their secondary structure includes four short double-helical elements and three loops (D, anti-codon, and T loops). The record is from Rfam by way of RNAcentral. RNAcentral also lists the same sequence under 1 other name. Lineage: Eukaryota; Metazoa; Chordata; Mammalia; Rodentia; Sciuridae.